RNAcentral lists this unclassified non-coding RNA (382 nucleotides) under soil metagenome. RNAcentral describes it as "partial contains 5.8S ribosomal RNA, internal transcribed spacer 2, and large subunit ribosomal RNA". The stretch from base 1 to 120 matches the Rfam family "5.8S ribosomal RNA", at positions 35 to 154 of the family's 154-position model. The record is from RNAcentral.
GAUGAAGAACGUAGUGAAAUGCGAUAAGUAAUGUGAAUUGCAGAAUUCAGUGAAUCAUCGAAUCUUUGAACGCACCUUGCACCCUUUGGCAUUCCGAAGGGUAUGCUCGUUUGAGUGUCAUUGUACUCUCACACUUCUGAUCCUUUGGAUUGGGAGCGGUGGACUUGGGUGUUGCUGCUUUACUGUGGCUCACCUCAAAUGCAUUCGUGCAACUCUUGGUUGGACAUAGUACGGCGUGAUAAGUAUCUUCGCCGGCACCUCGCAAGAGGGUGGCUGAUCAGGAGCUCUGUGCUUUCCAACUGUCUUCAGACAACAACUGACAACUUGACCUCAAAUCGAGUAGGACCACCCGCUGAACUUAAGCAUAUCCAUAAGCGGAGGA